RNAcentral lists this ribosomal RNA (507 nucleotides) under bacterium enrichment culture clone LiUU-12-84. RNAcentral describes it as "bacterial SSU rRNA". It matches the Rfam family "Bacterial small subunit ribosomal RNA", at positions 356 to 878 of the family's 1533-position model. The record is from RNAcentral.
GGGGAAUUUUCCGCAAUGGGCGAAAGCCUGACGGAGCAAUACCGCGUGAGGGACGAAGGCCUGUGGGUUGUAAACCUCUUUUGUUAGGGAAGAUAAUGACGGUACCUAACGAAUAAGCAUCGGCUAACUCCGUGCCAGCAGCCGCGGUAAGACGGAGGAUGCAAGCGUUAUCCGGAAUUAUUGGGCGUAAAGCGUACGUAGGCUGUUUCAUAAGUCUGUUGUCAAAGCCCGAGGCUCAACCUUGGAUCGGCAAUGGAAACUGUGAGACUAGAGAGAGAUAGGGGCAGGAGGAAUUCCAGGUGUAGCGGUGAAAUGCGUAGAUAUCUGGAAGAACACCAGUGGCGAAAGCGUCCUGCUGGAUCUCAACUGACGCUGAAGUACGAAAGCUAGGGGAGCGAAUGGGAUUAGAUACCCCAGUAGUCCUAGCCGUAAAACGAUGGGUACUAGGUGUUGGUCGUAUCGACCCGAUCAGUGCCGUAGCUAACGCGUUAAGUACCCCGCCUGGGG